GACGAACGCUGGCGGCGUGCUUAACACAUGUAAGUCGAACGGAAAGGCCCUGCUUUUGUGGGGUGCUCGAGUGGCGAACGGGUGAGUAACACGUGAGUAACCUGCCCUUGACUUUGGGAUAACUUCAGGAAACUGGGGCUAAUACCGGAUAGGAGCUCCUGCUGCAUGGUGGGGGUUGGAAAGUUUCGGCGGUUGGGGAUGGACUCGCGGCUUAUCAGCUUGUUGGUGGGGUAGUGGCUUACCAAGGCUUUGACGGGUAGCCGGCCUGAGAGGGUGACCGGCCACAUUGGGACUGAGAUACGGCACAGACUACUACGGGAGGCAGCAGUGGGGAAUAUUGCACAAUGGGCGGAAGCCUGAUGCAGCAACGCCGCGUGCGGGAUGACGGCCUUCGGGUUGUAAACCGCUGUCGCCUGUGACGAAGCGUGAGUGACGGUAAUGGGUAAAGAAGCACCGGCUAACUACGUG
RNAcentral lists this ribosomal RNA (468 nucleotides) under uncultured bacterium. RNAcentral's name for it is "partial 16S ribosomal RNA". It matches the Rfam family "Bacterial small subunit ribosomal RNA", at positions 28 to 507 of the family's 1533-position model. The record is from RNAcentral.